RNAcentral lists this long non-coding RNA (443 nucleotides) under Eucalyptus grandis. RNAcentral's name for it is "long non-coding RNA (EGRA_LNC001909)". Lineage: Eukaryota; Viridiplantae; Streptophyta; Magnoliopsida; Myrtales; Myrtaceae. The record is from RNAcentral.
UCGGGAAGGCGGCCAAAACGGGCCAAGACCGGGCUGCCAUAUCCAUUUUUCCAGCUGCUGUCCACUGCUGGUUGAGGCCAAGAAAGGGUAGAUCCGGUGCUUGGAUGAGAUGGGGAAGGACCGGGGAAGGUUGAGGGGUCGAACCGGACCUAGGCGGGGCCCGAACGGUGGCCGGAGGUGGCCGAACGGCUCCGGCACGGGCUGAUGCAGCAGCUGCGAAGCGAGUUGAGGCGGAGCGGAGACGGUGCAACGGCGGGCCGGCGAGCGCGCGCGAGCGGCGCGGGAACGGACGCACGGCGGCGGCGGCGACGGCGGCGUGCGAGCGGGUGGCCGGCCAUGGCUGCUCCUUCUUCUUCUCUGCAAAUUUUUCUGGUCCUUCGCACCAAGAAGAUGGAGGAGAAACCAACGGAAGGGAGAGAGGAAGGAGAGAGGAGGAGAGAGAA